Molecule: ribosomal RNA, 304 nt
Filed under: uncultured organism
Description: bacterial SSU rRNA
Rfam family: Bacterial small subunit ribosomal RNA
Source: RNAcentral
GUGCAGCAGUCGCGAAUUUUUGACAAUGGGGGAAACCCUGAUCGAGCGACGCCGCGUGGAGGAUGAAGGUCUUCGGAUUGUAAACUCCUGUCAUUGGGGAACAAGGUGCAUACGUUAACUGCGUGUGUAUUGAUAGUACCCGAAGAGGAAGGGACGGCUAACUCUGUGCCAGCAGCCGCGGUAAUACAGAGGUCCCAAGCGUUGUUCGGAUUCAUUGGGCGUAAAGGGUGCGUAGGCGGCGCGGUAAGUCGGGUGUGAAAUCUCGGAGCUUAAACUCCGAAAACUGCAUUCGAUACUGCCGUGC